GCGGUGGGUGAGGCCGUGGAGCACGGAGUGCCCAGGAACAGGCCGGAGAGCUCUGCAAGGCUGAAGGGAAGGAGAAACCAGCAAACCUGAUAAUGGAACAGCUCAGGAAACACACACAUUAUCUGAAAGGAAGAAGCAGGAUGGCAUUUAUCCUGGCCAUAUGGAAACAAAUAUAACUUGGGGUUUUUUUCCAUAAAGGCCGCUCUUGGUUAUUGAAUUAUUUCAAAAAAUCUUCUUCUACAUCAUAUUUAUAGUAUUCCUUUUGCUUUCCCGGCCUCUCUCUCCAUUUGCAGAUAUUUAGUCUCAGAUGGCUUUGCAGCAAGUAACUGGUGAAUAGUCCAGACAGUUUUUCCCGUGAAACGGCUGUGUGGGGUCACUGAUUCUGUGGGGUGAAGAUCUCUGAUCACGGUUUGCCUAUGUUGGUGCCACUUUUCCCAUUUGGGUCCUUGCUUUCAGCGGGAACCCGAGGCUCCAAGGGAACUCAUCUCGAGGAGCCCAGAGUUUGUCCCGUCGGGCUCGUGUUUUCUAGGGAAUUCCGUGUGCAUUCCCGAGCUGGAGCCGGGACCGCGCACCGCGAUCGCAGGGCUCUGCCCUCACCCCGGGGGGGUCCCGACCCCGGCGGGGCGGGGGGGCGGGAUAUCUUCGCUUUUGUUCUCGCCCCCCCCCCCGCCGCUCCCGCGUCCCGUCCCAAGCGGAGCAGCGCUCCGAGGCACGGGCGGGUCCCGGCGGGGGGUGCGCGGCGGCGGGGCCGGGCGGUCUCCGGUGCUGCCCGGCGGGGCGGGCGGUCCCCGCUCCCCUCGGCCCGGCUGCGCCGUGUGGCAGCGCCUCUGUCAAUCAGCCUGACUUCACUCCCGCACGCCCUGUGUAUCCAGUAUUAUACCCCCGCCGCCUCCUGGUGUCUCUGCUUCGCUGCGAGCCGGGAGCGCGGCCGCCACUGCCGCUGCGGCUGCGGCUGGGCGAAUGCGCGGGCGGCGGGGCGCGGGGCAGCGCUGAGCGGCGCGGACCGGCGAGGAGAGGCGCGGAGCGGGGCUGCCGCCUGGCCGGCCCCGGCUGCGGGCAGC
RNAcentral lists this long non-coding RNA (1061 nucleotides) under Strigops habroptila (Kakapo). Its description in RNAcentral is "lncRNA (ENSSHBG00005008323.1)". The record is from RNAcentral. Lineage: Eukaryota; Metazoa; Chordata; Aves; Psittaciformes; Psittacidae.